This 862-nucleotide ribosomal RNA is filed under the name uncultured bacterium. RNAcentral describes it as "bacterial SSU rRNA". It matches the Rfam family "Bacterial small subunit ribosomal RNA", at positions 28 to 922 of the family's 1533-position model. The record is from RNAcentral.
AAUCAACGCUGGCGGCGCGCCUAACACAUGCAAGUCGAACGAGAAAGGGGAGCAAUCCCUGAGUACAGUGGCGUACGGGUGAGUAACACGUGGAUGAUCUACCCUUUUGUGGGGAAUAACCAUGGGAAACCGUGGCUAAUACCGCAUAAGCUCGAGAGAGGAAAGCAGCAAUGCGCAGAAGGAGGAGUCCGCGGCCGAUUAGCUAGUUGGCAGGGUAAAAGCCUACCAAGGCAGAGAUCGGUAGCCGGCCUGAGAGGGCACACGGCCACACUGGCACUGAAACACGGGCCAGACUCCUACGGGAGGCAGCAGUGGGGAAUCUUGCACAAUGGGGGAAACCCUGAUGCAGCGACGCCGCGUGAGCGAUGAAGCCCUUCGGGGUGUAAAGCUCUUUCGGCAGGGAAGAUGAUGACGGUACCUGCAGAAGCAGCUGCGGCUAACUACGUGCCAGCAGCCGCGGUAAUACGUAGGCAGCAAGCGUUGUUCGGAGUUACUGGGCGUAAAGGGUGUGUAGGCGGUUGUUUAAGUUUGGUGUGAAAUCUCCCGGCUCAACUGGGAGGGUGCGCCGAAUACUGAAUGACUAGAGUGCGGGAGAGGAAAGUGGAAUUCCUGGUGUAGCGGUGAAAUGCGUAGAUAUCAGGAGGAACACCGGUGGUGUAGACGGCUUUCUGGACCGUAACUGACGCUGAAACACGAAAGCGUGGGUAGCAAACAGGAUUAGAUACCCUGGUAGUCCACGCCCUAAACGAUGCAUAUUUGGUGUGGGCAGUUCAUUCUGUCCGUGCCGGAGCUAACGCGUUAAAUAUGCCGCCUGGGGGAGUACAGUCGCAAGGCUGAAACUCAAGGGAAUUGACGGGGGCCC